RNAcentral lists this ribosomal RNA (426 nucleotides) under uncultured bacterium. RNAcentral describes it as "bacterial SSU rRNA". It matches the Rfam family "Bacterial small subunit ribosomal RNA", at positions 356 to 773 of the family's 1533-position model. The record is from RNAcentral.
GGGGAAUCUUGCGCAAUGGGCGAAAGCCUGACGCAGCGACGCCGCGUGGGUGACGAAGGCCUUCGGGUUGUAAAGCCCUGUGGGGUAGAACGAACUGGCAUCGGGCUAAUAUCUCGGUGUCUUGACGGUACUGCCUUAGCAAGCAUCGGCUAACUCUGUGCCAGCAGCCGCGGUAAGACAGAGGAUGCGAACGUUGCUCGGAUUUACUGGGCGUAAAGCGCGUGUAGGCGGUCUCGUUAGUCGGGUGUGAAAGCCCCGGGCUCAACCCGGGAAGUGCACCCGAUACUGCGAGACUGGGGUACUGAAGAGGAGAGCGGAAUUCCCGGUGUAGAGGUGAAAUUCGUGGAUAUCGGGAGGAACACCAGUGGCGAAGGCGGCUCUCUGGGCAGAUACCGACGCUGAGACGCGAAAGCGUGGGGAGCAAAC